UGGACGUGCAGGGGGAUGUCUG
This 22-nucleotide microRNA is filed under the name Human betaherpesvirus 5. RNAcentral describes it as "hcmv-miR-US4-5p". Its record names the gene hcmv-miR-US4-5p. Lineage: Duplodnaviria; Heunggongvirae; Peploviricota; Herviviricetes; Herpesvirales; Orthoherpesviridae. The record is from miRBase by way of RNAcentral.